GACGGAGGGUGCAAGCGUUGUUCGGAAUUACUGGGCGUAAAGCGUACGUAGGCGGUUGAUUAAGUCAAAUGUUAAAGCCCGGGGCUCAACCCCGAGGAUGCAUUUGAUACUGGUCGACUAGAGGGCGAUAGAGGAAAGCGGAAUUCCGAGUGUAGCGGUGAAAUGCGUAGAUAUUCGGAGGAACAUCGGUAGCGAAAGCGGCUUUCUGGGUCGCUCCUGACGCUGAGGUACGAAAGCGUGGGUAGCAAACGGG
This 253-nucleotide ribosomal RNA is filed under the name uncultured bacterium. RNAcentral's name for it is "partial 16S ribosomal RNA". It matches the Rfam family "Bacterial small subunit ribosomal RNA", at positions 524 to 776 of the family's 1533-position model. The record is from RNAcentral.